This 99-nucleotide small nuclear RNA is filed under the name Marmota monax (woodchuck). Its description in RNAcentral is "U2 spliceosomal RNA". It matches the Rfam family "U2 spliceosomal RNA". From Rfam's summary of the family: U2 is a small nuclear RNA (snRNA) component of the spliceosome (involved in pre-mRNA splicing). Complementary binding between U2 snRNA (in an area lying towards the 5' end but 3' to hairpin I) and the branchpoint sequence (BPS) of the intron results the bulging out of an unpaired adenosine, on the BPS, which initiates a nucleophilic attack at the intronic 5' splice site, thus starting the first of two transesterification reactions that mediate splicing. Lineage: Eukaryota; Metazoa; Chordata; Mammalia; Rodentia; Sciuridae. The record is from Rfam by way of RNAcentral.
UUUGCUUCUCGGCCUUUUGGCUAAGAUCAAGUGUAGUAUCUGUCCUGUUCUCUUUGUUUGAUGCUCCUGAGCAUCAAGUUCAGCAGACACAGACCCUGC